RNAcentral lists this ribosomal RNA (493 nucleotides) under uncultured bacterium. RNAcentral describes it as "partial 16S ribosomal RNA". It matches the Rfam family "Bacterial small subunit ribosomal RNA", at positions 28 to 507 of the family's 1533-position model. The record is from RNAcentral.
GACGAACGCUGGCGGCGUGCUUAACACAUGCAAGUCGAACGGUGAAGGGACCGGUUUUUGCUGGUUCUGGAUGAGUGGCGAACGGGUGAGUAACACGUGAGUAACCUGCCCCCUUCUUCUGGAUAACCGCAUGAAAGUGUGGCUAAUACGGGAUAUUCUGCGCCUGCUGCAUGGUGGGUGUGGGAAAGAUAUUGUUUCGGUGGGGGAUGGGCUCGCGGCCUAUCAGCUUGUUGGUGGGGUGAUGGCCUACCAAGGCGGUGACGGGUAGCCGGACUGAGAGGGUGGACGGUCACACUGGGACUGAGACACGGCCCAGACUCCUACGGGAGGCAGCAGUGGGGAAUAUUGCACAAUGGGCGCAAGCCUGAUGCAGCGACGCCGCGUGAGGGAUGGAGGCCUUCGGGUUGUAAACCUCUUUCGCCAGUGAAGCAGGCCUGUCCCUUUUGUGGGUGGGUUGACGGUAGCUGGAUAAGAAGCGCCGGCUAACUACGUG